This is a long non-coding RNA of Stomoxys calcitrans (stable fly), 958 nucleotides long. RefSeq lists it as uncharacterized. Lineage: Eukaryota; Metazoa; Arthropoda; Insecta; Diptera; Muscidae. The transcript is spliced from 2 exons. The record is from RefSeq and is a predicted model, not a curated record.
GGACCUUUAAUAGUUUGCUUUCAUAAUUUUUAAACGUAUGUGUCAAAUCUAGGCGAAAUGUAUUUUCUGCUUUUGAAGUUAAAAAUAAAGGAUCAAAGCCGUGAGGUGUUGCUUUAUUAUAUUUUUUAGGUGCAACGGUUGAAGUAUGCCUUCUUUUUACUAAUGUUGAACCAACCAGAUCAAUUUCAAAAGCCCAACAUCCGUUUAGUUACGAUGGUCUGUCUAGAAAUGGGAACCAUAAGUGAAAUUCCUGCAGAACAUUAUUUCAUGUUUAGUCGGGCCACAUGAUCAUUUUCAGCCUCCACUUUGCUACACUUCGCCUUUUUUGGGCUUAUCUCGAAGAAUCAGUUUGCUUUGCAUUAGAAAUAUACAUUGUACAUACUUCGGAGUCCCUUCCGCCGACACACAGAAAUCAAAUUGUUGCCUCAAUGGUUUUGUCAACCCAAUGCUGAUGAUUCCACUUACCAUCAAAGGUUUAGCUUUACUUUCUUUGUGACAACCAACAUUGACCUUGAGGCGGGGCAGUGAAAUCCCAUUUGAACGUGAUUGCGACUAAAAAUAUAAAACUAAACUGUUAAUCAAAAAUGCAAUUCAUAUUAUUAAGGCGGAUGAAAAGACUUAAAACUUUCGAAUCAGAUAGAAAAUACCUUUGAUAUAAGUCAAGCAAUCCAAUUUGAGCCAAAUGGCUAACAAACAGUAUUUCAUUUACACUCAAGAAAAGUGAACCGAGAGAUGAUACAAAACAAACUGUUUUUAGUAAAGUUGACUUGCAUGUAGCGCUAAAGACAUUUUUUUCUGUUUUUGUCAAUAUAGAUCUAAAAAGCAAUGAUGUCAUAUGAACUUCCUUAUGGUUAAAUGUGAACUAAAUUAUUUGUUUUAGUACAUCGUGUAUUAUAAUUUGAACUGAACUCAAAAUAAUCGAUGGAAUAAAAUGUUAGCAAUUUUUACUCUGUGUUAA